UCAUGUUGCUCUAAUGCUACUCCAAAAUAAGUUAUCCAACUUGAUUAUUCCAGGGUUCAAAGGAAGGAGCACGGAGGAGCGCCCUUCGCUCUCUUCGAUUCUUCUCCCUGACGAAUUGAUUGAAGCGAUUCUGCUGCGACUACCGGUGAGUUGUCUUCUCCGUUUCAAAUCCGUCUCAAAAUCAUGGUUGUCUCUAAUUUCCAAUCCCCAAUUUGCCAAAUCCCACUUUGACCUAGCUGCUGCACCCACGCACCGUCUCCUCCUGAAUUGCACUCGUGAACUCCGAUUCCAGUCCUUAGACGUUGAUUCAUCGCCACCCAACAAUGAAACUGCAGUGCUCAAAUACCUCCGUGAAGAGUUUGAUGGUUAUGGUAGAGAUAUAGAUUUACAUUACAACCCCAAACUUGUAGUCCUGGGUUCUUGCAGAGGGUUUCUAUUUUUACUUUCAAACAAUUUUCCAGCUCAUGAUUUCGUUGUGUGUAAUCCGUUAACGGGUGAGCAUAGACGAAUUCCAUCAUCUACUAGUUUUAGUUACUCUUAUUCUUCACUGUAUGGUAUUGGGUAUGAUCAAUCAACUGAUGACUACUUGCUAGUUUCUAUAAGAUCGAAUGUUCGUGAUCCUAGAAUUGAGGUUUUUUCGUUGAAAACCAAUUUACCCAGCUCGCUCACACUGGAUAAUGAAUAUCAGUCUCUCGGUUCUGAUUUUCAACACGGUUUGUUCUUAAAUGGGUCUCUCAUUGGUUGGUUACCGUUACGUCUAGUGAUACCAAUCCUCAUGUACUUCUUGCUUUUGAUUUGGUUAACAAGAGUUCAUCGGAGAUUGCUCUGUCACCUGAUUUAGCUCGGCAGUUGAAGAAUGAACCAUGUGAUUUAAGAGAGAUGGCAGGAUGUCUUGCUCUGUGUCCUGAUCUGUGUUACACUACUUAUAGUGGCAUGAUUGAAAUAUGGAUAAUGAAAGAGUAUAAAGUGCAAUCAUCUUGGACUAAGAUUGUUUUCUCUACUCAUGACGUCCCUCACAUAUACGACUUUUUUCCAAUAUGUUUCACUAAAUGUGGUGACAUUUUUGGAUCAGAUGAGACUGGAAGAUUAUUGAGAUUCAACGAUAAAGGAAAGCUGCUUGCAGUUUGGCCGUGGGAGAGCAGAUAUCGUCUAUUAUAUAGUCGUAUGUAUACAACAAGUUUACUGUCACUCCCUAGUUAAUUUGUGGACCAACAAAAAACAGACAUGAAGUAUCAAUGAUUACUGAAUUCACUGUUGGAUAGGGAAAAUAUUUUGUCUUGCUUGCUCAGAAUAAUGAAAGGCAUUUUCGGUGGAAAAUUAUGAUCCAGAGUGAAAUAACAACUUUCAAACUACUAUCUCAACAUUUGUGGUUUAAUUGCUGAGAAGUUAGAUGCUUGCAGUGGUAAAACAUGAUCUUCACUGAUUCUCCUGAGGCUCUGUUGGUAAUAGCCACCCCAAUGAAAUUUGCUCAUUCAGCAUAUCCAGCAGGCGAUGAUAAUUUGGACCUAUUGUAAUGUUUGACCUAUUGUCUGCUCUUUUUGUCUUAGAUAAUGACAUUUUAGAUGAUAAGUAUUAAAACUUUUCAAUUUUAUGUAAGGUGUUUGAUGCGCAGUUGAAGGAGAAAUCAAUGAUGGUUGUUAGCAUGUA
RNA transcript from Lotus japonicus, 1647 nucleotides. It is a transcript of the gene named F-box/kelch-repeat protein At3g06240-like, with no coding region annotated. The record is from RefSeq and is a predicted model, not a curated record. The transcript is spliced from 3 exons. NCBI's taxonomy places the organism in Eukaryota, Viridiplantae, Streptophyta, Magnoliopsida, Fabales, Fabaceae.